This 20-nucleotide ribosomal RNA is filed under the name Sellaphora pupula. RNAcentral describes it as "partial 26S ribosomal RNA". The record is from RNAcentral. Lineage: Eukaryota; Bacillariophyta; Bacillariophyceae; Sellaphorales; Sellaphoraceae.
GCAUAUCAAUCAGCGGAGGA